RNAcentral lists this ribosomal RNA (856 nucleotides) under Escherichia coli. RNAcentral's name for it is "partial 23S ribosomal RNA". It matches the Rfam family "Bacterial large subunit ribosomal RNA", at positions 104 to 1002 of the family's 2925-position model. The record is from RNAcentral. Lineage: Bacteria; Pseudomonadati; Pseudomonadota; Gammaproteobacteria; Enterobacterales; Enterobacteriaceae.
CCGGCGAUUUCCGAAUGGGGAAACCCAGUGUGUUUCGACACACUAUCAUUAACUGAAUCCAUAGGUUAAUGAGGCGAACCGGGGGAACUGAAACAUCUAAGUACCCCGAGGAAAAGAAAUCAACCGAGAUUCCCCCAGUAGCGGCGAGCGAACGGGGAGCAGCCCAGAGCCUGAAUCAGUGUGUGUGUUAGUGGAAGCGUCUGGAAAGGCGCGCGAUACAGGGUGACAGCCCCGUACACAAAAAUGCACAUGCUGUGAGCUCGAUGAGUAGGGCGGGACACGUGGUAUCCUGUCUGAAUAUGGGGGGACCAUCCUCCAAGGCUAAAUACUCCUGACUGACCGAUAGUGAACCAGUACCGUGAGGGAAAGGCGAAAAGAACCCCGGCGAGGGGAGUGAAAAAGAACCUGAAACCGUGUACGUACAAGCAGUGGGAGCCUCUUUAUGGGGUGACUGCGUACCUUUUGUAUAAUGGGUCAGCGACUUAUAUUCUGUAGCAAGGUUAACCGAAUAGGGGAGCCGAAGGGAAACCGAGUCUUAACUGGGCGUUAAGUUGCAGGGUAUAGACCCGAAACCCGGUGAUCUAGCCAUGGGCAGGUUGAAGGUUGGGUAACACUAACUGGAGGACCGAACCGACUAAUGUUGAAAAAUUAGCGGAUGACUUGUGGCUGGGGGUGAAAGGCCAAUCAAACCGGGAGAUAGCUGGUUCUCCCCGAAAGCUAUUUAGGUAGCGCCUCGUGAAUUCAUCUCCGGGGGUAGAGCACUGUUUCGGCAAGGGGGUCAUCCCGACUUACCAACCCGAUGCAAACUGCGAAUACCGGAGAAUGUUAUCACGGGAGACACACGGCGGGUGCUAAC